Molecule: long non-coding RNA, 3448 nt
Organism: Canis lupus familiaris (dog)
Lineage: Eukaryota; Metazoa; Chordata; Mammalia; Carnivora; Canidae
Exons: 2
Source: RefSeq, a predicted model, not a curated record
UAGACAGCAGACGCCGUCGGGUCCAGUGUCAGAUGAGAGCGCUGUCCGGGCUGGCUGGGGCAGCUUGUGGCCCGGGCACUGUGCGAUGCUGGGGAGGGGGAGGCUGAGGUGGGCCUCGUUCUGCGGUGUGCAGAAGGUGUGCGUGUCCUCGUGUGUGUUACGGGAGCUCUGGAGGCUGGCGUGAGCGUGUGUAGACUCGAGGCAGCUCCGAGCCGGUGUGCACGGGGCCCUGAGGCAUGGGACCCGGUGCUGGGGUUUGUUCCUGCAGACCGUGAGUCCGGGCUGGUGGUCGGGCCCUCGGGGGCAGGAGCAGGCGGCGGGCUCCGUCAGCCUUACAAGUCUGGAGCUUUCUAACGGGAGGCGGAGGCGCUCUAGGCAAAGGGUGGUUGGGUUCCUAGAAAGAGAGAUUGUCUGGGAAACACGGGGUGGGCCCUUGAUUCGCGUGGUUCCUCCCACACAGGAAGCGGAGAGCCUUGGCUGCGGAGACCCGAGAGUGUGCGUGCAGAAUAAUCUGCAGCAGUCAGUGUUUUCUCUGUUUCUCGAGGGCUUGACGCUCUCCUUUGGUCCGUGGUGCCAGUGUCCAUUCCACAGCAUCACACGGGGGGUGUGUUCCAGAAGGAGCGCUGCGUCGGGAAGUGCGAAGGCUUGCGGGCGCCCUGGAGGCCACUGUCAGAGAAACACACAGUCCCUGAAAGUCACUUUCUGGGUGCCCCGAUCGCCAUAUGGUACUUCUCAGGAGCCCCCUUCCAACACACACGCACGGGCACACGGGAGUCCCGGGAUGACAGAGUUAGAAGAGCUUCUAGAAGACUUGGAGAGCGGGCGCCUUGGGAUGUGGAUUUGUUGGCUAAAACUGCCUAUUUCUUCCUAAUCGCUUGGCAGGCGAGGUGGUGCCAGUGCCUGGAGUGGAUGAGACGGCGCCCCGCAGAGAUCACAGUCCCUUCUUUCUUCUUUAGGUCUCAAUGAAGCGUCCAGCACAGGCCCUGGGAACCGAGACAGUGUGAUUGUGAGAGGCCAGCAGCGGGCGGGUAGGGCCGGAUGUGGCGGGGAAAGAAGACAAAAAGGUUAUCUGUCUGCGUUCCCUCCGCUUGCGGGACCCUAAGGCAGCACCUCCGUGUCAGGCUGCGCUGUCCUCCUCCGGGUCUGGGGCACUGACGUCUUCCCACUGCCCUCUGUCUGCAUGCAGGGGGGCAGUGCCCUGCCCCCAGCCUGCCCCCCCCAAGCCAGGUCCCCAGUGUGAUGAUGUGAUGACGCGGAGCCUUUGGGAGGCGUGUCGGGCACGGGGGGGGGGGGGCGCUCGUGAAUGGGAUGGGAGCCCCCUCGCCCAUCCUGCCCGUGAGGACAUGGCGAGUGGGAGGCCACCUGAACCAGACAGAGGCUGUCACCAGACCCCGAACCUUCCGGCAUCUUGAGCUCGGACUUCCAGCCUCCACAGCUGUGAGAUACGAGUGUCCGUUGUUUACGAGCCGCCCGUCCGAGGGGACGGUUACGAGGGUGGUUGGAGUGAACGAAGAUAGGCAGUGACAGCUGGUCACCAGUUCUACGGGAGUUGGGCCUACUCUGUUGGUCACACGUGAAUUGGAUCCCCGGCAAGGACCCGAAUGAGCACAUCACCGAUCCUGGGGGUUAGGCGUAUCCAAAAGGGGACACAGUUCAGCCCGUAACACCAACGGCAGGCGCAGGGGUACACGAUUGUACAUGUUUGUAUGUUGCUGUGUGUUUGGCUCACAAGGGAACGCUCACCAACGAGGGCUGCAAGAAACCAGUUGGCGUUUCCUCCGUGGCACUGGGAGGGGACGGUUGCCGGCACAGGUCCUGCUGCACCGUGCUGCUCACGAGAACUGGCUUCUGCUCUUGUUGCCCUCUGUCCUCCGCGUGUCGGCCUAUGCCCUCAUGCUGGGCACCCCGGGGUCCAGAGGGCUCACCACAACUCCCAGCUCACGGGUGUGUGUUGAAGGUGGCAAGAGAAGUAUGUGUGUGUGUGGGGGGGAGUUUGGUGUCGCCUGCAUCUGUCCUUUUGAUCAGAGAACAACAGGCCUUUGGGGAAGCCCUGCAACGGCCUCUGUGUGUGUCCCAUUGAAGUGGGCUUCCUGGCAGACCCCAGGGUGUGAGAAGCUGGGGGAGCCAGAGGCCAUGGGAGCCAGAAGGACCGUCCUCACGAGAACUGGACAGCACGGUACGUGAAGCCAGCUGCCCAGCGUCUGCAUGGCCAGGCUGUGCCAGCGUCCGUUGCCCUUGCUGGUCUCACCUGUUCUCAUCUGGAAGGCAGGAAUCCCCACGGGACGAGGUCCAGACCAGCCUGCGCAUGGGUCGCGUGGCUCACGUGGCCCCGGUGUCUUGCCAGUGUCGCGUAAGCCCAUCUGAGCCUUCCCUGAUUUGUAGUUUUGGGUGCGGUGAGGAGCAGAAAAUCACGUCCUGUCCUGUCCGUGUCUGUGUCCCCCUCGCAGCUGGCACGGAGCCUGGCACGGGGUAGCUGCUCCGUAAGUGUUUGCAGACCUUAACUAGGCCUCUCCACCCUUCACAGGCCUCGGGGUCCAGGAGCAGUCUCAGCCGUUGCUCCAUCCCUUCUGUUCUUUGGCCCUUUCCCUUGGUCGACCUCCUGCGUUCCAAGGUGGAUGAAGGGACAUCCAGUACGGACCUCUGCAGCCUUCGGCAUCAUGCAAGUUCCAGUUUCGCUCCAGUGAGGACGACCAGUAGGGACCCACAGCAAUCCCUUGUCAUCUGGCAGCGUCGCUCACCCUCCACUCCCUCCGCCUGUGAAAUAGGUCAACAUCUAAGGCUCACGCAGUUUAUUAAUGCCCAAUAAAUACCCACCGCGUCCUCAGCCAGGUCCUGGGCUGUGGAAGGUGCAAACGUCAACGCCUCAGAAGGAAGUGUUGUCAGUUUGUUCUUAAAUGAGCUUGCCCUCCCCCGGGCAGCGGAGGGGCCAGGGGGCCAGUUCUUAUCUGUUAAUCCUUUAAUCGCUCCCAGGACUCUUUCUCCUUUGGCCCAGCGCCCUGUUUCCUUCACAGUGACCUUGUUUUCUCUCCGUCACGGCCACGUGCGUGCUUGCGGGUACGGGCUUUCUCUGGGGGCACAGGCACGGGCACCGGCGUGGGCUGUGUCCUGCCGGCCUGGCACAUGGGCUGCUCUCCCGGGGACUGUUUAUCCGGCGAAGGUGGGACGUCUUCUGGCUACAACAGAGCAAACCCGACCAGAUGGGCAGAGGGGAGGGCGUGUGGAGGGCUGCACCGUGCAGGCGGAGGCCGCUGGCUUCGCGGGUCCUGAGCCCUUCCACGGAGGCCAGUCCCAAGGGACCUGCUGUGUGUGUGGAGAAAUGCACGGCCAGUUUCCAAGAGCUGGCGUGAAAACCGGUGUAAAUGAAAGCAAUCUCAGGAAUAACAUUUACAUGAUUACAUGUUAACGUGAUUUUAUUUUACUCAUUUGAAUAAAAUGUUACUAACAUUAA